Molecule: ribosomal RNA, 498 nt
Filed under: uncultured bacterium
Lineage: Bacteria
Description: partial 16S ribosomal RNA
Rfam family: Bacterial small subunit ribosomal RNA
Source: RNAcentral
AUUGAACGCUGGCGGCAUGCCUUACACAUGCAAGUCGAACGGUAACGGGCCUUCGGGCGCCGACGAGUGGCGAACGGGUGAGUAAUGCAUCGGAACGUGCCCUGAAGUGGGGGAUAACGUAGCGAAAGUUACGCUAAUACCGCAUAUUCUGUGAGCAGGAAAGCAGGGGAUCGCAAGACCUUGCGCUUUAGGAGCGGCCGAUGUCGGAUUAGCUAGUUGGUGGGGUAAAAGCCUACCAAGGCGACGAUCCGUAGCGGGUCUGAGAGGAUGAUCCGCCACACUGGGACUGAGACACGGCCCAGACUCCUACGGGAGGCAGCAGUGGGGAAUUUUGGACAAUGGGCGAAGGCCUGAUCCAGCCAUGCCGCGUGAGUGAAGAAGGCCUUCGGGUUGUAAAGCUCUUUCGGCGGGGAAGAAAUAGCACGGGUUAAUACCCUGUGUUGAUGACGGUACCCGAAGAAGAAGCACCGGCUAACUACGUGCCAGCAGCCGCCGUAA